RNAcentral lists this ribosomal RNA (565 nucleotides) under uncultured archaeon. RNAcentral describes it as "bacterial SSU rRNA". It matches the Rfam family "Archaeal small subunit ribosomal RNA", at positions 326 to 895 of the family's 1478-position model. The record is from RNAcentral.
CGGGGUGCAGCAGGCGCGAAAACUUUACAAUGCCGGCAACGGCGAUAAGGGAACCUCGAGUGCCAGGUUACAAAUCUGGCUGUCGUGAUGCCUAAAAAGCAUUGCAUAGCAAGGGCCGGGCAAGACCGGUGCCAGCCGCCGCGGUAACACCGGCGGCUCGAGUGGUAACCGUUAUUAUUGGGUCUAAAGGGUCUGUAGCCGGCCGGGUAAGUCUCUUGGGAAAUCUGGCAGCUUAACUGUCAGGCUUUCAGGAGAUACUGCCUGGCUCGAGGCCGGGAGAGGUGAGAGGUACUUCAGGGGUAGGGGUGAAAUCUUGUAAUCCUUGAAGGACCACCAGUGGCGAAGGCGUCUCACCAGAACGGACCUGACGGCAAGGGACGAAAGCUAGGGGCACGAACCGGAUUAGAUACCCGGGUAGUCCUAGCCGUAAACGAUACUCGCUAGGUGUCGGCCACGGUGCGACCGUGGUCGGUGCCGUAGGGAAGCCGUGAAGCGAGCCACCUGGGAAGUACGGCCGCAAGGCUGAAACUUAAAGGAAUUGGCGGGGGAGCACAAGGGCGAAUCG